GCCUACAGCCACGCCCAGUCGAAAGCACCGGAACUUGUAUGUCCGAAGUUAAGCAACUGUAGUCCUGGUUAGUGCUUGGAUGGGUGACCGCCUGGGAACCUCAAGUGCUGUAGCGU
RNAcentral lists this ribosomal RNA (116 nucleotides) under Hofstenia miamia. Lineage: Eukaryota; Metazoa; Xenacoelomorpha; Acoela; Hofsteniidae. The record is from RNAcentral.